Molecule: ribosomal RNA, 406 nt
Filed under: uncultured bacterium
Lineage: Bacteria
Description: partial 16S ribosomal RNA
Rfam family: Bacterial small subunit ribosomal RNA
Source: RNAcentral
AUUGAACGCUGGCGGCAUGCCUAACACAUGCAAGUCGAACGAGUGGCGGACGGGUGAGUAACGUCUGGGACACUGCCUGAUGGAGGGGGAUAACUACUGGAAACGGUAGCUAAUACCGCAUACCAUCGGAUGUGCCCAGAUGGGAUUAGCUAGUAGGUGGGGUAAAGGCUUACCUAGGCGACGAUCCCUAGCUGGGCUGAGAGGAUGACCGGCCACACUGGAACUGAGACACGGUCCAGACUCCUACGGGAGGCAGCAGUGGGGAAUAUUGCACAAUGGGCGAAAGCCUGACGCAGCAAUGCCGCGUGUAUGAAGAAGGUCUUCGGGUUGUAAAGUACUGUCAGCGGGGAGGCGUUACCCGAAGAAGAAGCCACGGCUAACUCCGUGCCAGCAGCCGCGGUAAUAC